RNAcentral lists this ribosomal RNA (515 nucleotides) under uncultured bacterium. Its description in RNAcentral is "bacterial SSU rRNA". It matches the Rfam family "Bacterial small subunit ribosomal RNA", at positions 397 to 904 of the family's 1533-position model. The record is from RNAcentral.
CCGCGUGUGUGAAGAAGGCCCUCGGGUUGUAAAGCACUUUCAGUGAGGAAGAACGCCUGAUGGUUAAUACCCGUCAGGAAAGACAUCACUCACAGAAGAAGCACCGGCUAACUCCGUGCCAGCAGCCGCGGUAAUACGGAGGGUGCAAGCGUUAAUCGGAAUUACUGGGCGUAAAGCGCGCGUAGGUGGCUUGAUAAGCCGGUUGUGAAAGCCCCGGGCUCAACCUGGGAACGGCAUCCGGAACUGUCAGGCUAGAGUGCAGGAGAGGAAGGUAGAAUUCCCGGUGUAGCGGUGAAAUGCGUAGAGAUCGGGAGGAAUACCAGUGGCGAAGGCGGCCUUCUGGACUGACACUGACACUGAGGUGCGAAAGCGUGGGUAGCAAACAGGAUUAGAUACCCUGGUAGUCCACGCCGUAAACGAUGUCGACCAGCCGUUGGGUGCCUAGCGCACUUUGUGGCGAAGUUAACGCGAUAAGUCGACCGCCUGGGGAGUACGGCCGCAAGGUUAAAACUCAA